UGAUGAGGUAAAAAUAAUGUGGUGUUUU
This 28-nucleotide small RNA is filed under the name Bombyx mori (domestic silkworm). RNAcentral describes it as "ovarian small RNA-32815". The record is from RNAcentral. Lineage: Eukaryota; Metazoa; Arthropoda; Insecta; Lepidoptera; Bombycidae.